AUAUAAGAUAAACACAAUAGAAAGUGGGUGAUGAAUGGUGAAAAAAACCCAGUGCAGGCAAGCUUCUGUAAAGAGGUCACUCCAACCCCGAAUAUAUACAAAACAAGAUAAAAGGAAACAGAGCGCCGCAAUCACUAUAUAGGUGAUAUAAUAGGGUUAAAAGAAAAUGAAUAAAUUGACAAAGAAAAAAAUAAAAUAUAUAAGGAUAAAAAAUAACAGAAAAAUUUAUUAAUUAUAAAAUAUCAAUAUUGACAGCACAGAACAUGUGCAAUAUAAAAUGCCACAAUAGGCUAAAUAAGACCCUUAGGUACAGCAGUUAAAAAACAAUAAAGUACUGGAUGUGCAAAGUGCAAGUGCCUAAGUGCAAAUGUACAGAUGGAAGUGCACAAAAAAACAAUCCUCCAUAAAUUCAAAUGGUGAACUGAAGACAAAAUAUUGCACAAGCAUUAAACCAGUAGAUAUGUAAAAUAAAGCUGCCGAUACCAAACUGCAGGGUCCACA
Pelobates cultripes (western spadefoot toad) is the source of this 501-nucleotide non-coding RNA. The record is from the annotation of a GenBank genome assembly. NCBI's taxonomy places the organism in Eukaryota, Metazoa, Chordata, Amphibia, Anura, Pelobatidae.